UACGAGGGGGGCAAGCGUUGUUCGGAAUUAUUGGGCGUAAAGGGUGCGUAGGCGGCGCGGUAAGUCGGGUGUGAAAUCUCGGAGCUUAACUCCGAAACUGCAUUCGAUACUGCCGUGCUUGAGGACUGGAGAGGAGACUGGAAUUUACGGUGUAGCAGUGAAAUGCGUAGAGAUCGUAAGGAAGACCAGUGGCGAAGGCGGGUCUCUGGACAGUUCCUGACACUGAGGCACGAAGGCCAGGGGAGCAAACGGG
This 253-nucleotide ribosomal RNA is filed under the name uncultured bacterium. RNAcentral describes it as "partial 16S ribosomal RNA". It matches the Rfam family "Bacterial small subunit ribosomal RNA", at positions 524 to 776 of the family's 1533-position model. The record is from RNAcentral.